GGGGCUGUAGCUCAGCCGGUAGAGCACCUGCUUUGCAAGCAGGGGGUCAGGAGUUCGAGCCUCCUCAGCUCCACCA
RNAcentral lists this transfer RNA (76 nucleotides) under Chloroflexota bacterium. Its description in RNAcentral is "tRNA-Ala". It matches the Rfam family "tRNA". Rfam says of the family: Transfer RNA (tRNA) molecules are approximately 80 nucleotides in length. Their secondary structure includes four short double-helical elements and three loops (D, anti-codon, and T loops). Further hydrogen bonds mediate the characteristic L-shaped molecular structure. tRNAs have two regions of fundamental functional importance: the anti-codon, which is responsible for specific mRNA codon recognition, and the 3' end, to which the tRNAs corresponding amino acid is attached (by aminoacyl-tRNA synthetases). tRNAs cope with the degeneracy of the genetic code in two manners: having more than one tRNA (with a specific anti-codon) for a particular amino acid; and 'wobble' base-pairing, i.e. permitting non-standard base-pairing at the 3rd anti-codon position. RNAcentral also lists the same sequence under 1 other name. Lineage: Bacteria; Bacillati; Chloroflexota. The record is from RNAcentral.